UACGGAGGGUGCAAGCGUUAUCCGGAUUUACUGGGUUUAAAGGGUGUGUAGGCGGACUAUUAAGUCAGUGGUGAAAUCUCCGGGCUCAACCCGGAAACUGCCAUUGAUACUAUUAGUCUUGAAUAUCGUUGAGGUGGGCAGAAUAUGUCAUGUAGCGGUGAAAUGCAUAGAUAUGACAUAGAAUACCGAUUGCGAAGGCAGCUUGCUAAACGAUGAUUGACGCUGAGGCACGAAAGCGUGGGGAUCAAACAGG
This 253-nucleotide ribosomal RNA is filed under the name uncultured bacterium. RNAcentral describes it as "partial 16S ribosomal RNA". It matches the Rfam family "Bacterial small subunit ribosomal RNA", at positions 524 to 776 of the family's 1533-position model. The record is from RNAcentral.